AAUGGUUAAAAAUUAGAUAAUUUAAAUUUAACAAAACAAUACAUAUUUUUUGACCACUUGACGUAGGACAAGAAUUUGUUUAUUGUUGUCAUUACUUGACUUGAUCUAGACUUGACCCAACCUAUUGCCACCUCUACCUGCCAUUGUAACAAUUUCUUCCACUACUAUCACCUAACCUGAGCUUGGUUAAAGUUAACCAUAGUUGGAAAAAAUCAAAAUGCCCUUUAGGGUUUGUUUGUUUGGGGUAGGCUUAUGAGAUAUUCUGACAAUUUUUGAAAUCAUUUAUUUGAAAAAAUGAUUGCGGAGAAAAAUAAAUUUUACCAUAUUUAGUUGGUAAAAAAUUACUCUAAAAAAUAUCAACGGAAAAAUAUUACUAUGUUUGGUUCGAAGUAACUUAUAUAGGAAUAUUGCCAAAUUUUCAACAAUACCCUUGAGUAAAUUUAAGUAAUAACAUUUUUUUCUCAAUCCAUUUAUUAGCUAUUCAUAGCCCAUUAUAUAAACAUUAUCAAUAUUGG
This 515-nucleotide long non-coding RNA is filed under the name Phoenix dactylifera (date palm). RNAcentral's name for it is "long non-coding RNA (PDAC_LNC004176)". Lineage: Eukaryota; Viridiplantae; Streptophyta; Magnoliopsida; Arecales; Arecaceae. The record is from RNAcentral.